This 267-nucleotide signal recognition particle RNA is filed under the name Clostridia bacterium. RNAcentral's name for it is "signal recognition particle sRNA large type". It matches the Rfam family "Bacterial large signal recognition particle RNA". Rfam says of the family: The signal recognition particle (SRP) is a universally conserved ribonucleoprotein involved in the co-translational targeting of proteins to membranes. Archaeal SRP consists of a 7S RNA and homologues of the eukaryotic SRP19 and SRP54 proteins. Lineage: Bacteria; Bacillati; Bacillota; Clostridia. The record is from RNAcentral.
UCAUACCAACCGGGGAGUCAGCGGUGCCCUGUCGCCUGCAAUCCGCUACAGCAGGGGUGGAAUGCCAUGCAGAGGGCAAUGCUUGUGCUGCUGCGAUCCGGAUGCCUUGUUGAUAAACGGGUUCCAGCGCAAUUCGCGACUGUGAAAUAUGUCAGGUGGGGAACCAAGCAGCAUUAAACAGCGUCUGCGGAUGUGCCGCGGGAGUGCCUGUUUUGAGAGGGAUCCCUUUCUUCCGGGUGUAAGUAUUGUUCGAUCUUGGAUGUAUGG